AGUCGAGCGGUAACAUUUCUAGCUUGCUAGAAGAUGACGAGCGGCGGACGGGUGAGUAACGCGUAGGAAUCUGCCUAGUAGUGGGGGACAACAUGUGGAAACGCAUGCUAAUACCGCAUACGCCCUGAGGGGGAAAGGAGGGGAUCUUCGGACCUUUCGCUAUUAGAUGAGCCUGCGUGAGAUUAGCUAGUUGGUGAGGUAAAGGCUCACCAAGGCGACGAUCUCUAGCUGGUCUGAGAGGAUGAUCAGCCACACUGGGACUGAGACACGGCCCAGACUCCGACGGGAGGCAGCAGUGGGGAAUAUUGGACAAUGGGCGCAAGCCUGAUCCAGCCAUGCCGCGUGUGUGAAGAAGGCCUUAGGGUUGUAAAGCACUUUCAGGAGUGAGGAAGGGUGUACGGUUAAUACCCGUAUAUUUUGACGUUAGCUCCAGAAGAAGCACCGGCUAACUCUGUGCCAGCAGCCGCGGUAAUACAGAGGGUGCAAGCGUUAAUCGGAAUUACUGGGCGUAAAGCGCGCGUAGGUGGUUUGUUAAGUCGGAUGUGAAAUCCCAGGGCUCAACCUUGGAAUUGCACCCGAUACUGGCAGGCUAGAGUACGGUCGAGGGGUGUGGAAUUUCCUGUGU
This 625-nucleotide ribosomal RNA is filed under the name uncultured Marinomonas sp. Its description in RNAcentral is "bacterial SSU rRNA". It matches the Rfam family "Bacterial small subunit ribosomal RNA", at positions 60 to 676 of the family's 1533-position model. Lineage: Bacteria; Pseudomonadati; Pseudomonadota; Gammaproteobacteria; Oceanospirillales; Oceanospirillaceae. The record is from RNAcentral.